RNAcentral lists this ribosomal RNA (519 nucleotides) under Hanseniaspora uvarum. RNAcentral's name for it is "partial 26S ribosomal RNA". It matches the Rfam family "Eukaryotic large subunit ribosomal RNA", at positions 79 to 597 of the family's 3401-position model. The record is from RNAcentral. Lineage: Eukaryota; Fungi; Ascomycota; Saccharomycetes; Saccharomycodales; Saccharomycodaceae.
CUUAGUAACGGCGAGUGAAGCGGUAAAAGCUCAAAUUUGAAAUCUGGUACUUUCAGUGCCCGAGUUGUAAUUUGUAGAAUUUGUCUUUGAUUAGGUCCUUGUCUAUGUUCCUUGGAACAGGACGUCAUAGAGGGUGAGAAUCCCGUUUGGCGAGGAUACCUUUUCUCUGUAAGACUUUUUCGAAGAGUCGAGUUGUUUGGGAAUGCAGCUCAAAGUGGGUGGUAAAUUCCAUCUAAAGCUAAAUAUUGGCGAGAGACCGAUAGCGAACAAGUACAGUGAUGGAAAGAUGAAAAGAACUUUGAAAAGAGAGUGAAAAAGUACGUGAAAUUGUUGAAAGGGAAGGGCAUUUGAUCAGACAUGGUGUUUUUUGCAUGCACUCGCCUCUCGUGGGCUUGGGCCUCUCAAAAAUUUCACUGGGCCAACAUCAAUUCUGGCAGCAGGAUAAAUCAUUAAGAAUGUAGCUACUUCGGUAGUGUUAUAGCUUUUUGGAAUACUGUUUUUUUUGUAUUUUUUUACUGU